UCAGAUUUGUGCAAAGUGGUAAAAUUAGGUGAAGAGAGGAAAGUAAAUGGAAAAGGUGUGAUGUGAUAAUUGAUGGAUGUGACCAGCAAAUGGACGAUACGACGUAAGGACGGUGCAAAAAUUAGAGGCAUGCCAUGCAAACAAUGAUGGUACAUUGCCCAAAUGAGGGCGGUACGCCGCCCAAGUUGGUGGUGCCAGCUGUCAAAA
RNAcentral lists this long non-coding RNA (207 nucleotides) under Carica papaya (papaya). Its description in RNAcentral is "long non-coding RNA (CPAP_LNC004792)". Lineage: Eukaryota; Viridiplantae; Streptophyta; Magnoliopsida; Brassicales; Caricaceae. The record is from RNAcentral.